UUGAAGUUGAUCCUGCCAAGGUCAAAGUAAUACAAGAGAAGCCUGCGCCCAAAACUGAGAAGCAAGUCAGAGGUUUUCUUGGCCGUUUGAAUUAUAUAUCAAGAUUCAUUUCACACAUGACUGCCACAUGUGCGCCUAUAUUCAAGCUUCUUCAGAAAGAUCAAUCUUGUGAUUGACCAAGGAUAUCCAGAAAGCUUUUGAUAGUAUCAAAGAGUAUCUACUUGAGCCUCUGAUUCUGUCUUCACCUGUUGAAGGAAGACCAUUGAUUAUGUAUUUGACUGUGCUUGCAGAGAGUAUGGGUUGUGUUCUAGGUUAGCAAGAUGAGACUGGAAAGAAAGAAUUUGCAAUAUACUACCUCAGUAAGAAGUUCACCGAUUGUGAGACUCAGUAUUCUAUGCUAGAGAAGACUUGUUGCGUAUUGGCUAGGGAUGCUAAGCAUUUGCGUUAGUAUAUGGUGAAUCAUACUACUUGGUUGAUAUCCAAAAUGGAUCCAAUCAAGUACAUAUUUGAGAAGCCUGCUUUAACUGGGAGGAUUUCCCAUUGGCAGAUGUUGUUAUCAGAGUAUGAUACCAAAUAUCGAUCUCAGAAAGCAAUCGAAGGUAGUGUCUUGGCUAACCAUUUGGCUCACCAACUGAUUGAAGAUUACUAGUUAGUGCAGUAUGAUUUUCCUGAUGAAGAGAUUUUGUACUUUAAAAUGAAAGAUUGUGAUGAACCAUUGCUUGAAGAAGGGCCAGAACCUGGUUCCCGUUGGGGCAUGGUAUUUGAUGGAGCUGUUAAUCAGUAUGGUAAUGGCAUUGGGGCAGUAAUCAUUACUCAUCAAGGAACGCAUUUUCUACUUACAGCUAGAUUGACUUUCAAAUGUACAAAUAAUAUGACUGAGUAUGAAGUUUGCAUUAUGGGGCUUGAAGAGGCCAUUGAUCUCAAAAUCAAGUAUUUGGACGCCUAUGAAGAUUCAGCUUUGGUGGUGACUCAAUCAAAGGUGAAUGGGAGACGAAUCAACCCGGUUUGAUACCAUAUAGAGAUUAUGCGAGGAGGAUUUCAACUUUCUUUACAAAGGUUGAAUUUCAUCAUCUCCCUCGAGAUGAAAACCGGACGGCAGAUGCUCUCGCAAUAGUGGCAUCAAUGAUUGUAGUGAAGUAUUGGAAUGAGGUUCCUAAUUUGACUGUGAUGCAUCUUGAUAGGCCAACUCAUGUGUUUGUUGUUGAAGAAGUCAAGGAUGAAAAACCGUGGUAUUACGAUAUCAAGUGUUUCCUCCAAAGUCCGAUUUACCCGUCUGGGGAAUCUUUGAAAGAUAAGAAGACUUUGAGAAGAUUAGCCGGAAUUUUUUACUUGAAUGGUGAUGUUUUGUACAGGAGAAACUUUGAUAUGGUUUUGCUCAGAUGCGUGGAUAGACACGAAAUAGACCUAUUGAUGACUGAAGUCCAUGAAGGUUCCUUUGGUACUCAUUCCAAUGGACAUGCAAUGGCAAAGAAGAUGUUGCGAGCAUGUUCCUCCGACACUGUUGAACGUUAUUUCCUUACCAUGGCCCUUCUCCAUGUGGGGAAUUGAUAUGAUUGGCAUGAUUGAGCCCAAAUCUUCAAACGGACAUCGUUUCAUUUUGGUGGCUAUUGACUACUUCACAAAGUGGGUUGAAGCGGCAUCGUAUACGAAUGUAACCAAGCAAGUUGUUGUAAGGUUUAUCAAGAAUCAGAUGAUAUGCCUUUAUGGUGUGCCAAGUAAGAUCAUUACUGAUAAUGGAUCGAACUUCAAUAAUAACAUGGUGGAAGCUCUUUACAAAGACUUCAAGAUUGCACACCAUAAUUCUUCUCCCUACAGACCCAAGAUGAAUGGGGAUGUUGAAGCUGCAAAUAAGAACAUCAAGAAGAUCAUUCAGAAAAUGGUUGAAACGUAUAAGGAUUAGCAUGAGAUGCUCCCGUUUGCUUUGCACAGAUAUUGUGCAUCCAUCCACACUUCAACAGAGGCAACCCCUUUCUCUCUUGUAUAUGGUAUGGAAGUCGUGAUCCCAGUAGAGGUUGAGAUCCCUUCAUUGCGUGUGCUCAUGGAAGGCAAGUUGACUGAGGAUGAAUGGUGUCAGACCAGAUAUGAUCAGCUGAAUUUAAUUGAAGAGAAAAGAUUGACCACCAUGUGUCACGAUCAGUUAUAUCAACAGAGAAUGAAGAAGGCAUUUGAUAAGAAGGUGAGGCCUCGUGUAUUCAGAGAAGGUGACCUUGUGCUCAAGAAGAUUUUAUCUUUCAAACCAGAUGCUAGGGGAAAAUGGACUCCUAAUUAUGAAGGCUCAUAUGUUGUUAAAAGAGCCUUUUCAGGCGGUGCUUUGAUCCUUAUAACUAUGGAUGGUGAAGAGUUCACUCGUCCUGUGAAUGCAGAUGCAGUCAAGAAAUACAUUGCCUAAAAAGAGAAAAGAACAACUCGCUAAGUUGAAAACCUGAAAGGGCGGCUUAGGCAAAAAUGAGCGUCUCGGUGGAUUGAAAACCUGAAACGGCGAUCCAGGCAAAAGUUAGAGACAUAAAAUAGAAAGAAUUAUCCCGAUAAAUUGAGUAUCGCACCUUGGGGAAAUUUAUGAAAAAAUUAGGGAUUACGGCAAGUAACUGCAUCUUGUUGAUCUUCAGACUUGAAGACGUUUUUGAGCACAACAGUCAGUUUUGGUUCAUCGUCCCCAGUAGCAGUUAAGAGCACAAUGGAUAUCAAGAGUUGGUAGAAGGAUUAGUGAUCAUUGUAUUCAAUGUAACCCUUUUCCCAUGUAAAUUACCAUUUUUCAACUUUGUAAAGAUCUAUGAAGUCUUGUCAUUUACAGACUACCAUUCCAUUAAAUAAAGUUGAGCUUUUAUCCUAUUGUUUCUACUCUUAUUUAAUUCAGCUAAAUAGUUUUAAAUUUUAUUAUGAUCAUUUUUGAAAAUUAAUUUUUUUAAUCAAAAUCAUGUUUUGUUAAACAUAUAAAAGCAUUUAAUUUUAAGCAAUCGAUUUCAUUUAAAAAGAGUAUCAACAACGGUUCGAAAGCAGCAGGCCUUAAAAUGUGGAGCGUUAUUGGUUCUCCCUAAGCAACAAGCGUGAUUUCUCUUUCAUCCCCGAAAACAUUAAUCAGCACUCAGUGUUUGUUGAUUUCUCCGAAUGGUUAUUUCUCCGUCAUCCCCAUCCAAAUUUAUAUUUGGUCUCCAGCAGAGUUAGAACAUUUUAUGGUUUCAGCAGACUUUGGUUUCCUCACCAGUCACCGUCAGAUCCGCUCCCAAGUCAGAGUUCCCUCCGGGUUUCUGAGCAGAUAUUUGUGGUUAUCCCCUGCAUGGUUGUCUCCCAUUUGAUAUGGUGUUGACCUAAAACUCCCCACGGAGUUUAUAACACUUUUCCUCAGCAGAUCUCCUCCUUCCCCAACUAGGGUUGAGCCUUCGGGAUGUUGAUCUCUCUUUCCACCAGCAGUUGUUUCCCUCUUUUGUGGAUUGGCCGAGAAUUGUAUACAAAUCUCCGACAUUUUAUAUCCUUUGUGAUUGUUUUGUCAGCAUAAUCAUCAUAUAUACAUCUACAUCUACAUAUACAAUCAUAUAAUUUCAUUGUUGCAUUGUUGUGCUCUGAAACUCAUUCCUGUAAUUGUUAUUCUCUGUUAUGGUGGUACUUUAUCCCCAUAUCAGUUUGGUGUUUGUCCUCCUUCAAUUGUAGAAUGUCAGCCCCUUAAGCAGAAAGACUUUAACCUUUCUCCUUUCUCCACUAAGUUAUUUCCUCGUGGAUAAUGAUCGUUUCAUCUUCCUCCUAGUUGAUUAUCUGGAUGGAACCACUCCCCUUGAGUUAUAUCCUCAUUGGGUAGAGUCUUGAUUGAUCGUUUCUUACUAGAUCUUACCUAGAUAGAUAUUUUUGGUCCCCUAAAAGUUUAUUACUCAGUAACUGGUAGUAUUCUCUUUAGUGGACAGUUUGUUACUUCUUGCCCAGUACCUUGGCAAAAGUUACCUUGUUUCUCCCUAGCGGAUUCGUUUUCACGUUUCCCCAGGAAGUAUAUCCUUGAUAUGUUCAUCCUAACCGAUGACAAAUAUUUUCUUCCCUUACUUUGAGUUUAUCCUUGAUAUGUUCAUCCUAACCGGUGACGGAUAUUCUCAUCUUUGGUAUUCUACCCAGUAAAAAGGUAGUUGUAAUCCCUAUUUUUAUUCCCGAGAGAGUUAAUCCUUGGUAUGUUCAUCUUAACCGAUGACAAAUUUCCUUCUCUUUGCGGUCUUCUGCCUAGUAACCGAUAGUUAUAAAUCCUGCUUUUUUCCCUUUGCAGAGUUUAUCCUUGAUAUGCUCAUCCUAAUCGGUGACAGAUACUCUUUCUGAUGGUAUUCUAUCCAGUAACUAAUAGAUAUAAUCCCUAUUUCACCCAUUUGAGACUAUCCUUGAUAUGUUCAUCAAAACCGGUGACGAAUAUUCUCUUUGAUGGUAUUCUAUCCAGCAUUUGAUAGAUGUAAUUCCUAUUCUUUUGUUUAGGUGGUUUAUCCUUGAUAUCUUAAUCCUAACCGAUGAUGGAUAUCCUCCUAAACAUCCCCAGGAAAGAGAAUCCUCGAUAUGUUCAUCCUAACCGAUGACAAAUUUUCUUUCCUUUGAGUUUAUCUUUGAUAUGCUCACUCUAACCAGUGACAGAUAUUCUCUCAUUUGGCCUUCUGCCCAGUAACUGGUAGUUGUAAAUCCUAUUUUCAGUUUUUCCCUAGCAAGGCUAUUCUUACCCAGUGACCGGUAAUGAAUACACCUCCUGGCGACCCCCAGUGAGUCAUCCUUGAUAUGUUUACCCUAACCGGUAACGAAUGUCCUCCCUGUCAGACUUUUAUUAUCUUCUUAUCCAAUAACCUGUAGUGGAUGAUAGAUUUCUGCUCCUCCUUUGUUGAAGUUUAUUUCUUCCCCCAGUUGAGUUGAGUGCGUAUUUCCUUAGUGAAAUCGCUCUUCCUGCAUGAUUCGAGUAUUUCAGUUUUUUUCUGAUCUACCCGUUUCCCCUGCAGGCUUUCCCUUUGUUUCCCGGAUGAGUCUUUCCAUUUUCAUGGAAUUCCUCUAGUCCCCCAGUUGUUUUAAGUCAUAGCCUGGCCUGCGCACACCCUUUUUCCUCCUAGAGUCUUUGUUUCCCCAGUGAGUUUUCCUUAGGAAAAUGCAUUACACUCCUUUGGACUUUUAGUCUCUCCGGAUUCUUUUCCUUUGUGGCAACAUUUCCCCACAAAGAUUUAUUUUAACAUUCAUAUCAUAUGCAUCAUGAGGUCUCUUAGGGACCAAAAUUUAUUUCUAUAUGUUGUUAUUUAAGCCCAUUCUACUGAGUCGAUACGAAGUUUUUAACCUUCACCUCCUCAGUUUGAAUGUCCUUAAAUAGGGGCAAUCGUAAGACCCCAAUUUUGACCCUAAGAUCCCUCAUGUUACACUCAUCAUAUGCAUUAGCAUUGGGAUCAUACCUUGGCAUCCUCCUUACCCCUCUUUCAUUGGGUUUAUUUUGGGAAAAAUCACCAAGCAUUAUGUGAUUGUAUCAUACUUGUUAUUUUAUCAUUCACUAACCAAAAUACCAAAAAUAUGUCUUUGCAUUUGUUUAACUUUUUUGUAGGUAGGGCACAUGAUCACCAUUGAUCUAUCAAGUUCACAUCUAGUGUUUAAGACCCUCAUUGCUAAAAUCUCAACCAAGAAAUUAUCCACAAUGGUUCUAGGAAUCAUAUAUGAGUCCCAAUGAUCUCUACAUGUUAUUUUGAUCAAGAAUUCUUCAAGAGUUUGGAGUUGCUUUCCCUUGGAAACCUUAAUUCAUCUGGGUAUCUUGAGUAACUUCUUCAACAAGCUUCUUCACCCAUUGAUAAAAUACUUCAAGGGACACUUCAAAUUUCAUCAUCUUAUGCAUAUAUGAUCUCCCAUGAGUCCAAAAAAUCAAGAUAAUUUCAAGUUAGCAAGUUGGUUGAUGGUAGUUGGCCAGAUGAAUUCAUCUGAUCAAAACUGAGUCUCCCUAGACCCUAUAUCCUAGAAUUUCAUAACAUGAAAAUGAUUCCAAUGGAAAAGUUACUCUAAAUGACAUUCUAAAUAACUUUCAUGUUGAGGUUUGUAGCGGGAAAUUCAUGAUCAUCAAGCUAUUGACAAGCUAGAGAUCAAUUAACAAGAGUCGCCACCGCGCUUUUAUUGUUUCCAAGGGAAAAGGGAAAAAGUACGAACAAAACCCAAAAGGUAAGAGGGAAAUUCAUGAUCAUCAAGCUAUUGACAAGCUAGAGAUCAAUUAACAAGAGUCGCCACCGCGCUUUUAUUGUUUCCAAGGGAAAAGGGAAAAAGUACGAACAAAACCCAAAAGGUAAGAAGUUUUAAAAUAAAAACUAAUAAAAGUCAUAGAUCACAGGUAAGGGGGUUGGUUACACAGAGGGAAGGUGUUAGCACCCAAAGUGUCCUAGGUACUCUUAGCGAGCCCUUUUUGUGUGCAUAUGUAUUUUGUACAAAAUGAUGUUUACAAACAAAUAGAAUCGGGGGAUGAGAAAAGAAUUCAUUAAUUAUAUUUUUGUGUUUGACAAUACCUUCGGUCUUGUGCCUAUGUACCAACAUAAAAAUGAGGGAUCAAAACCUCGUAGUUCGUGCUAUAAACUUCAAAAUGAGUGGGUUGAUUUUAAUAAAAUUAGGUUUGAAAGCCACAAAGGCCUAAAAUGUUUUGAAUGGGUUAGUUCUUUUUUUCAUUUUGAAAGUUUAAGUCAAGUAUGGUUAAGUUUAUUUACAAGUUUGAUUUAAGAAAAUAGUUUGAAAAUGCAAUGGCAUAAGGCCAAAGUUUCUAUCUUUUGGAAAGUGGUCAAAGUUUAGAACAAAAUUAGUUCACACAAAGAAAGUUUUGAAAAUGGAGGGAGAGAUUUUUAAAUUAAAGAAAUUGGGAGAAGAUGAAGAGACUAUCCUAUGCACAAAAUUUAAAAGUUUAAAGUUGAAAAGAUCUGACCAAAUGGGUAGCACUCCAAUAUACAAGUAUGUCAAUAGAAACCCAGAAUUCCCUUGGACUUUUUAGAAUCAAGCAACACAUAAAUGCACAAUUAUAUCAGUCUUGAAGAGCAAAGUCAUCAAAUAAAGAUGGCCUCAUCCAAGCUUAUCCACUUCAAUUAUCUUCUUCAGAAUAGCCCAUGGAACAGAUGAAUUCCACAAGUCACAGGUUCAACAUAACAGCUUAACAAUGAUCAGUAUUGCAGAUGAACUGGAGAAAUCUUGAAUAAUGUAUCAGAUGAAUUUCAAAUUGUAAGCACUUGGUUCUUCCACUAAUUUGCAUUGCCAAGUCCAUUAGCAAAGGAAUGUUGCCUAAGUUCUAAGUCCAAUUGGUCCACAGAUCAAGCCAAAAGUCCACACAAAAGUUUUUUAGGGCUUUUAUUGUUAUUAUAUACAUUAAUGGUCAAAGACCACACAAACAAACAAAGUAACACAAACAAAAUGUAUCACACAAAUAUGGUCCAAAUGGACAAAGUGAAAAUUACAUUAAGAUAAACAAUUAGAAUGAUAUGUAUAAUGAAAAAUGAUAUAGAGUGCUAAAAGUAAAUUGCAUUAAAGUAAAAGCUUGAAAUUAAAAGUCAAUAGUUAGUAAGUUAGGGGUUAGUUUUAUUUUGCUUUUCUUAUCAAGACAUUCUUUGGAGAACACUCAACCCACUUGCCACAAGCAUAGAUCCUUGAACCAAAACAUCUUCCAAAGGAAGGAAAGAAGGCCAAGUUUCCAUACAAUACCAUGGAAGAGGGGAGACUUACAAUCUCACUAACUAGAAUACUUAUGCCUUUUGUGUCACAAAUUUAGCGAUAUGUUAAGCAAUCGUAAUUGGACUUAUGUAGAAGUCACAACUAUUUGAGGUCGGGCAAUGGGUUUUUGGUGUUAAUGCAUGUUGGAAACAUAGUAUUAUGAACUAUGCUCAUUAAACAUACCACACACAAAAAUAUGCAAAAGGAGUGGCCUAAUCUCAUCCAUACUCAUGUUAAUCUUUAAAUCAACUAGCAUUAGGACUUUGAGAUGUCAUUGGCCAAAUGGUAAUGAAUGAAUGAAGAAGGGGAAUUAGAUGAAGGGGAAGUGGAUGAAUGAGAUCACAAAUUGGUCAAAGGAGGACUUUUACCAAAUUAAUAUCAUUCAUUCAUUUUGGGAGAUGGAAUGUACAUUCCAUUAAUCCCCUAAAUCCAAUGAUAUUAACUUGACAAAGUCAAAUCAACCUGACCAAGGCCAACAACAAACAAUCAAACUCAAUUAAGUCAAUACAAAUGGUCAAACACAAUUUAAAUGGCAUUUAAUCAAUUAAAAAUAAUAAAAUAGUGCAUUAAAUUCAAAUAUGUUUUGUCCAAAUCCUAAAAUCACAUCAAAACACCAAAUAAAUGGGCCAUGUGAUUUAUCAUAGGUCAAACAAGGUCAAAGGACCUUGGAUAAAAAAAUUCAUAAUUUUUGGGCACUUAAAAAUAUUUUUAAACAAUUAAAAACAAAUGAAAAAUCAAUUAAUUCAUGAAAAAUAUUAAUAAUGAUCCAAAAAAUAAUUUUAUUUCAGAAUAUGAAAGAGAAAAAUAUUUGAAGAUUUUUUGUGAAAGUCUCAUAUUUUUUGGAUCAAUAUUAAAUUAAAUAUGAAUUAUUAAAGAUAAUGCAAUUAAAAUAAAAUUCAGAAAAUGCUAAAUUACGUGGACCAUCAGAUCUCCCUCAUUAAUUGAGGUGGCAAAUCUGAUGAUCCAAAACGUGCGCUCCACAUACACCUGAGUCAACCGCAUGGCAAAAGGAGUAAUCACAAGGAAUGAUCCAGAUUAGAACAUGAUGUCGCAACGCGAAAAACAACCGGAGGAAAAAAUACAGAGCCGCCACCGACGCUAUUCAUCCUAUGAUGGGAAGGGAGCGCAGGACUAACCUAAGAAAGGGAAAGGAACGGUCUUAUGACCAAAGAUUACAAGGUACGGGAGUCGGUUACGCGAGGGGAAGGUGUUAGCACCCCUCACGUCCGCCGUACUCGACGGGAUCCACGCUAAAAAGAUAGCUCAAAGGAAAGGAAAAGGUUGCGGCUAAUAAACUGCUCAAAGAAACUACACAAACUGGAACAAUAAACAGGUGAAAGAAGAAAGAAGACGGAGGAAAUGGACUCGGCAGGAUGUUGCAUCCUGGGCCUAUGUAGUUUGUCAGAAAUAAACAUCAGAGUCAAUGUAGUCCGGGGAAUGGAGACAUGUUCGCUAAGACAUCGCGUCUUAUGCCUACGUAUCUUCUCUAUCCAGAGGAGAAUCAGAGCACUCGUAGCUCGGCUAACGCAUGCUGAAACAAGACACCAAAAAGGGACGCUGAGACGUCAGAAGAAACACUCAAAAGGAAACAGACUGCCAUUACAUGGACUUACACCCGACUCCUAACAAUAACAAAAAAAGGAAACAAAAUGCUAAUACAUGGACUUACACCUGACUCCUAACAAUAACCAAACAGGAAACAGAAUGCCAAUACAUGGACUUAUAUCCAACUCCCAAGCAUCAAACAAAGGAAACAGAAUGUCAAUACAUGGACUUACACCUGACUCCUAACAAUAACCAAACAAAAGGAAACAGAAUGCCAAUACAUGGACUUAUAUCUGACUCCUAACAAUAACAAACGCUAACCAGCGAACACCAAAGAAAAGGUUAUCGGAACAAACCCCAACAAAGUAACUAACUAUCCAGCCAGUCACCACAAAUAAACCCCAAAGAUGAACCCCAAUAUGAACCCCGAUAUGAAUAACAAUCAUCGCAAAUGAACCCCGAAGAUGAACCCCAAUAUGAACCCCAAAGUGAAUAUAGGUGAACCCCGAAUGAGUGACAAACAUCACAAAUGAACCCCAAAGAUGAACCCCAAGUGAAUAACUCAUCACAAAUGAACCCCGAGAUGAACCCCAAUAUGAAUGACAACCGUCAUAAAUGAACCCCGAGAUGAAACCCAAGUGAACUCCAAAUGAAUGAAAAUCGUCACAAAUGAACCCCGAAUAAUAACAGAAGAAAUCCCCAAGGUAUAAACAUACCACAAACGCCCAUGAUGAACAAACAGGUACUCACACCAAAACAAAGAAAAGGGUGAACACACAAAAAAAAAAAACAAAAGGGUGAACAAACACAAGAAAACAACACACCAAAAAAGAAAAAGGGUGCCCGAAGAGAUUGCUCACAACCUCCUGCCUACGUAUCUCACCUGGUAUGAGAAUCAGGGCGACGUAGUUCCCCUUACCAGGGAUAAAACACUCUCCUAACCAGAGACCAGUUAAAACAACAAACUAAAAGGGAGACUGAUACUCGAGCCUAAUAGUUGUCAUGCAAUCAAAUAUCCCUAAGCUGAGGUCUCUAACAAGAAUUUGACUCAACCUAGACGCGAGUCAACUCAAGUCUAAACUCUACAUACGUUCAACUUCAUCCGAAGUUAAUCGUACGACUCCUACAGAAACAGAGAUGAGAAGAGUAAAGCAAAUAACACACCAACACAAGUGAACAAGCAUCACACACUAUAUCCAUAAAAAAGUCUCAAACAAUGGGUGGGCUUUAGUCAAGAGGGGUCAUAUCAACCUCGACAAACAAGCCAAACUGUAAAAGGUAAUCUGCAGCUCUUAACCACUAACAUUGAACGUCAGGGUGAGCAGAUUAAAAUGGUAUUGAGGAUGAGACCUCAUAGCUCUUAACCCUGGCCAGGGUGAGCUCAUGACAAAGAAAGCGUGGGUAUCCAGAAAGUGGGAUCCUAUUCCACUUAACAGACUCUGGACAAAGAUCUGGGGCAUAUGUUCAAAAGCAUCCGCACGUAGUACGAGCAUAAAGAACGACACACUGAAUAACGGGGGAUCGACUGCUAAUCCCUUUUAUCCGUCAAUUUCCUCUUCUCUUAGAGGUCUUAUCAAAUAUCACAUGCCUCUCCUUGGAGGUUUUUGGGCACAAUGUUAAACAAACACAAACAGAGCCUCUGAAGGAGGACUUGCCAGCAAAAUGCCUGAAAAAAAGGUGAUAGGACUUCAAACUACAUGAAGUAAGAAGCUAACUACAUGAGUGGUGUGUCAACCACAAUCCAAUGCUCAACCAAGAGCUAGAGCAAGCAAGCAACUAAGGUACCUGUACAAAGACUAAACAAUCAGUACUUCAGUCAUAAAACCAGCAGACAAACAGUGAAACCCUCUAACAGUUACACAGUUCAAUGCAUAAGUGCCUUUGCACUCAAAUGAGCUCAUGAGCUCACCACAUCACUUAAAACCCUACAAAACAAACAUAGGUCAGAACUCAAUGCAUCUCACAAGGUGAGAACAAACCCAAUCAUCAAUCAUGAGUAUCCAAACCAGAAACACAAGACAAAGUUAGUCCAUGUACAUCUAAUCAAACACAACAAAACCCUAGUACAAAGGCCGAAUUCAAAACCUAACCAAAUGACCAAACCAGGACUCAUCCUUUUGCACAUUACACCUUCAAACACUCCCCUAAAUGUCCUCAAAAGGACCAACAUCAAAUCAAUGACCAAGUGCCUCAAAUGGCCUAUGUAAUGUGAUGACCAAAAAUAUGCACAAAAUGAAUUUCCAACUUAGAAAAUUCAUAUCAAAUCAGAAAUGUAUGCAAUGACUUUGGGAUUUUUUGUACAAGUCCCUCAUGUCAUGAAUAAUCAUCAUGCAAAAGAUCAAAUCCAGAAUGAUCCAAAUGCUAUGUGAACAAAAAUGCACCAAUUCAAUGCCAAAAAUGUGACACAAAUUGUCACAUUAUUCUCUAUGUGUCAAAAAUGAUGAUAACAUGUGAGAAAAAAUCCAAACCAGUGACCAAUAAUAAUGCACCAAUUCAAUGCCAAAAAUGUGACACAAAUUGUCACAUUAUUCUCUAUGUGUCAAAAAUGAUGAUAACAUGUGAGAAAAAAUCCAAACCAGUGACCAAUAAUUCAUGUCAUGUAUGAAUGUCAUGUAUACAAAAAAUUGGAUCAGAAGGUUCAACAUAGAGAAUUUCCCAAUGCAUUGAAUGCAAUAGGUAAAAUUGGCACAACCUUGAUUCAAAAAUUCACACAUAAAAAUCUAGACAUCCAAAAUUCAUGAAAUUAAUAUCAUAAAAAGUAGACAUCAAUAAAAAACUAUGAAAAAAAAUUGGGACUCAUUUGGACUAUUUUUUGGAUUUUUAAUGAUUUAAACAAAAUAGGCAAAAAAAUUGAAAUAUUAAAUGGAAGUGGAGGGAAACACAAUUAUUCAAAUAAAUCCAGAAAAAUCCACAGCCACAGGAUAUGGCGCGCGUAUCAGAUCAACGCUCCACAUUCAAAUGAAUGAAACACAACAUUUCAUUAAUGACUCAGCCUCCCAGUCACACGCUCAGUCAGCGUUCCAAGCGUGCGUGGCCAUGGUCAAAGGAAUUCAUAUCCAAUCAAGCUUCCACGCAACAGCACACAUGGAACACACGUCAGCCAAAACCCUAGCCACGCAGACACUGGAGCUACAGCUCCGGUCGUUUUCUCCAGCGAGACGCGCGGUGGCGCCGCCCAAAAAAUUUCCAGAAUCUCACAAGACCGGUACCAUUCGACUCGUCUUCCAACGUAGGUUCCAAAUAUCACCUUAGUUUUCUCUAAUUCCUCCUAGGUUUUGCAAAUCGAAGAGAAUAAAUUCUGAGAUCCAAACUUCCAUUCAACACCACGUCAUCAAUUCUCACUCAAACUCAAUUCUAAUUACAUAUUUGUUAUCUACUCAUCAAUCUCUACAGUUCUAUGUCCAAAAAUCAGCAAAAGGAGACGAUGAAAUUUGUGUCACCUGGAAAUGAAGCUUUCUGAAACCGCGAUCUCUCAAGCUCUACUGCUCCAGAUCAUCUCCUAUGAGCUUCCGUUGAAGCUUUAUACAAAAAGAAACGGUUAAAUCCUCUUGAAUACACCUUAAUUUCCAAAUUCCAUUGCCAUGAGAAUGCUCUUGAUCUGCUCGAAUCUUGGCUGAAUUGCACCAAACAAUGGAUGAUUCUUGAUCAGUGAAGCAUGAGGAUCAAUAAUAUGUAAGAAUAUUUGAGAAUUAUGUGGGGAAAAUGAAGAAUCGAAGAGAGAGAAAGUUGAGAGAGUUCUUGAAUUUUGAUCUGAAAUUGGUGGUUAUGGCAGUUAGGAUUAGGGUUUCACUAUUUAUAUCCCUUGCUAAUGACAAUGCUAAUCCUCUUUUCCAUUUGUUAAUCAUGAUUAAUGAGAUAUGAAGCAUCUUGCAAAAAUGCAAAAUGAGCUCACAUGGCCAAAAUGCACGUGUGAUCUCCCAUGCUAUGAUCUCAAUCCACUUAAGAACAUCCAAUGGUCAUGAUUUGAAUAUCAAUUAGCUUGCAUCUUAAGCCAAAAAUGAAUGGUGAAGAUUUACUUCAUUUUGCACAUGUGUGAAAUAAUGAACAUACAUGCCCCUCUCAUGUAUGGUAAUGGCUUAUUUUGAGAUGUCUUGAACAUGAGAAGCAUUUUGCCAGAAGAAUGAACCAAUUUGGAGCAUUGUAUCAAAAGUUAUGCCAUUUUGAAUUUCCAUGCACACUUUGUGAUCAAAUGACAAUAACUCCUCAACCACUCAUCAUAUGGACAUGACUUAGGACGUUUUAGAAAGGGGAGACAAAGAUCUACAACUUUCAUGCUCACCAAAAAUCCAUUUGAAACAUCUUUGAUAUCGAAACGUCAAGUUGAAAGUAGACCAAAAACUUGCCAAAUUUGGAAACUUUGAAUUAUAUGUCACUUUCCAUUUUUAGUAACUUUUGUCAUGACUUUUGAAUCUUCAAAUGGAUGUUUAGAAUGAUGAAUAGACCCUCUUUGAACAUGAUUGAGGUGUCUCAACUCAUUUCCCCACCUCAUAGCCCUCAGUUGACUGCAUAGUUGACUUUUUGGUCCUCAGAUGACCUUGAAAUGUCUUGAUGCUAGAACCAUGAUGAUGGUGAUAUAUCCUUGCAGAUAAGAUGAUGCUCAAGACCUUUGAAGAAUCAAGAAACCCUAAUUGAAGCCCAUACCCUCAGAUGGUGAUGAAUCAAUUCCAUAGAGACCCUCAGGCUUGAAUCAUGUAACUUCUCCAUCUUUUGAAAAGACUUUGGAGGAUGACCUUCUUAUUUUCAUAUGAGACGCAAAAUGCAAUGCCUAAUGCUCUAAAAUAUGAAAUUUAAUGUGUCAAACUAGUCUCAAGAAGAGGAGGGCAAAUUUUGAGGUGUUACAGCUGCCCCUAUUCAAUCCACUAGAGACCCGAAAAGAAGAUAGCAACGGCUUUCGCACUUUCGAGGUAUCAAGGGAUUGAAUACAAUAAAAGCCUGAAAAUUUGCACUGGAGUGAAGUGAAGUAACAAUGCCUGUCAGAAUCGGCAAAGAGGUGGUCUCGAAAGAAGAAUUCGUCUGGUACGGUGAGAGUCAGUCUGAAUACCGAAAAAUAAUGUUAAUUGGGAUACCAAAAUAAAUGGUAACCUAGAAAUACCCAUGGCCUGAAUGCCGCUCAUCAGUCUGAUUACUAGAAAUGAUUUCGAUCUAAGCAUCGGACGAUAUGAGAUUAUUAAUAUCGGUCUGAACACCGAGAGACUGGCCUGAAUGCCACUUUGGUAUGGAUACCGAAAAACUGGCCUGAAUGCCACAAGUUGCGUCGACUUGAAUGUUGGGAACUUCUUCGAUCUGAACAUCGAAAAAUUGGCAUGAAUGUCACUUCGGUCUGAAUACUAGAAAACUUCUGAAUUCCACAAGUUGCAUCGACCUGAAUGUCGGAAACUUCUUCGAUCUGAACAUCGGAAAAAUGGCCUGAAUGCCACUUCGAUCUGAAUACCGAAAAACUGGCUUGAAUGCCACAAGUUGCAUCGACCUGAAUGUCAGAAACUUCUUCGAUCUGAACAUCGGAAAAUUGGCCUGAAUGCCACUUCGGUCUGAAUACCAGAAACCUGCCCUGAGUGCCACAAGUUGAAUCGACCUGAACGUCGGGAACUUCUUCGAUCUGAACAUCGGAAAAUUGGCCUGAAUGCAAUUUCGGUCUGAAUGCCGGAAACCUGGCCUGAAUGCCACAAGUUGCACCGACCUGAAUGUCGGAAACUUCGAUCUGAACAUCGAAAAGUUGGCCUGAAUGCCACUUCGGUCUGAACACCAGAAACCUGGCCUGAAUGCCAUUUCGGUCUGAAUACCGGGAAACUGGCCUGAAUGCCACUUCGGUCUGGAUACCGGGAAACUGACCUGAAUGCCACUUCGGUCUGGAUAUCGGGAAACUGGCCUGAAUGCCACUUCGGUAUGAAUAUCGGGAAACUGGCCUGAAUGCACACUUCGGUCUGGAUACCGGGAAACUGACCUGAAUGCCACUUCGGUCUGGAUAUCGGGAAACUGGCCUGAAUGCCACUUCGGUAUGAAUAUCGGGAAACUGGCCUGAAUGCCACUUCGGUCUGGAUACCGGAAAAUUUUCAUGCCUGUCAGUAUCGGCAGAAAUAAGGAAAAUGAUCAUUGAGGCGGCACGUGGGCCAACGACCCCUGCUGGGAAUUAAUAAAGAUAAGCCACGAACAGGCUGCCCCUAAUCAAUCCACCGUGAAUAAUUUGCAGAUGACCAGGGCGAAAAGUGGUUGAAUACCAAAAACAAAUGAACAAUUUGCGCUCCGCUGGGAAUUAUUAUUAUUUUUUUUUUUUGCUUUUCUUGAACCCCAAAAACUUCAUGUCACUCUUACUGCCAAACAAUGAACCCCGUUCUCCAUUUGAACCCCAGUCGCCUAACGACAACUCUUGAUCGUCAUUGUGAACCCCAUUCUCCGGAAGACACUCUACGUCUCCUUUUCUCCUGAUGGACCCCGAUCUUUGCGCUGAUCACGUAACAUUCUCCAAUCUUCACUUCCAUCUCCGAACGACGGAAAUUUUCCCCCCAAUAUCGCGCUACUGGGAAAUAUGGUUGAUCCAACGUCACAAUGCCAAACUCCUCAGAGUAACAUCUUCACCAACCAGCUAAACCAACUCUCAAACAGUAACCACGACUUGAGACUAGCUUAUGCUUGCAAUCCUGAUGCAUGAGUUUUACAGCGUAAUGCUCCAUAACCAUGGAAAUGCUACGCAAUUAGUUAUGCAAUAUGCUAUGCUUCUCUAAAUGAUGAAUGCAUAAAAAAUAUCCCCCUCAGGGGACGGCACAAGCAACUCUGUUGAGGAACUCGAUAGCGCUCCAAUAUCCGACCCUGCUUUGGAUAACACUGACGUCGAGGAAAGAGUAACCCUCAUGGGGAUGACUUCCACUGAACUCGAUCCGCUUGGGGAAAAAAAACUGCCAAUGCACACCUCUGCCGGGGAAACAACAACCUUCAGACCUGCUGGGGAAAUAACAAUCUCAACCCUGCUAGGGGAAAUACGGAAUAUCUAGCAUGGAACACCCGUUGAUUCGUCGAACCCUGGUAUUCACCAUCUAACCACAGUGUCAAAUUUCCACUUUUGAGAGCUCCCAAACUCAUCCAGUCUCUUCUGGUUCAUCACCUUGUAUUCUCGACUUCUCCCUACUUCAUGAAGAUCGACCUCCUUAGAUUCGUGCCAACUUUCCAAUUCAUCAGACUUUGAAGAGUCUUCUUGAUUAAACCUCUAGGAUCGUGACAAUCCUGUCGUCUCUACACCAUUCCUUGCUUCCUCGUCCCUGAUUGGACCUCAAAGGAAUCUUUUGUCAAAAACGCUUCAUAUCACAACCUGCAAGUGAGUGAAAAUAAACCAACAGCACCUGCAAAAGAGACCGUUAGAUAAAACAUGCCCCGGGCGUGCCAAAAUUUCAACACCCAGGUCACUCAACCUUCCGAAUAAGAUAUCAAGUUUUCAAUCCUAUAAACAUGCAUUGGAAGGGACCCCUAUGUCUCAAAAUGCAAAGAUUCUUUAUCAAAAUAAGCAGAUGUUUUUGCAAUCAAAGCGGUAAUGAAAACAAAAACAAAAUUAUUUGACUGAAUAUGCAUUUUAUUGAUUGAAAAAGAUGACUCGUAACUGAGCAGUACACAGGAAGCAAUCCCUGAAAAGAGGUAAUUGCACACAAAAGGAAAAUCUAUCCUAAUGGCAAUGUGAACCCGUGAUCUCAUCAAGUUCCAACCCAGUUACAACCCAUAUGUCCUCAAGACUCUCCGCACUUUCUUCCUUCCGAAACAAGACACUUCUGACCAAUCUCCGCUUUCAGAUUAUCCAUGUGUCUUAAUCAAAGUACCAACGACCAUGCUAGACGCAGUUGUUCGUUUCAUUACCUCUUUUGCCUGGACCGCCCUUUCGGGUUUUCAGUCCACCGGGGUACCCUUUUUUGCCCAGGCCGCCCUUGUAGGGUUUUCGACCUGCCGGGUGUACAGUUUUUUCCUUUUUAUCCCUAAUUUUUGCCCGAGCCUUUUUCAUUUUUAUUUGGUUCGCCGGGAUGCCCAUUUUUUCCUGGACUAUUUUAUUCUUUUCGUCCAGCGGGUCUCUUAUACGAAGUAUUUUUUAACUGCGUCCGCAUUCACAGGGGAUGGAAAAUCCAUUUUAUUCUUUUCGUCCAGCGGGUCUCUUAUACGAAGUAUUUUUUAACUGCGUCCGCAUUCACAGGGGAUGGAAAAUCCUCGCCAUCCAUGGUCGUCAACAACAAGGCUCCGCCAGAGAAAACCUUCUCGACCACGAAUGGACCCUCAUAAUUAGGUGUCCACUUGCCCCGACGAUCGUUCUGAGGAGGAAGGAUCCUUUUCAGCACCAUAUCUCCCACAUGGUACACACGAGGUCGCACCUUUCGGUCAAAAGCACGCUUCAUUCGCUGCUCGUACAACUGCCCAUGACAAAUGGCUGCCAGCCUCUUUUGCUCAAUCAGGCUCAACUCUUCAUACUGAUUCCUUACCCACUCAGCCUCUUCCAAUUUCACAUCCAUCAGGACUCUCAAUGACAGAAUCUAGACCUCAACUGGUAGCACAACUUCCAUCCCAUACACAAGCGAGAAAGGCGUUGCCCCAGUAGAUGUACGCAUUGAGGUUCGAUACCCAUGUAAUGCAAACGGCAACAUCUCGUGCCAAUCCUUAUAAGUCACGACCAUUUUCUGCACAAUCUUCUUAAUAAUCUUAUUAGCCGCCUCGACCGCCCCAUGCAUCUUUGGACGAUAAGGAGAAGAAUUGUGAUGCUCGAUCUUGAACUCCCGACAUAGUUCCACCAUCAUCUUGUUGUUGAUAUUAGAACCAUUAUCGGUGAUGAUUCUUUCAGGAACCCCAUAUUUGCAAAUGAUAUCUCUUUUCAGGAACCUGGAAACAACCUGUUUCGUCACGUUUGCAUAAGAUGCCGCUUCCACCCACUUGGUGAAGUAAUCAAUAGCCACUAAUAUGAAUCGGUGCCCAUUCGAAGUUGUAGGCUCGAUCUUUCCAAUCAUAUCAAUACCCCACAUAGCAAACGGCCACGGAGGCAACAUCAAACUCAACGGAUUUGGAGGCACGUGCACCUUGUCAGUAUAAAUCCGGCAUUUAUGACAUUUCCGCACGAAGUUGAAACACUGAGCCUCCAUUUUCAUCCAAUAAUAUCCAGCCCUUAGCAACUUUUUCACCAUCGCAUUCCCACUGGCGUGGGUACCAAACGAUCCCUCGUGCACCUCUUUCAUCAAUUGGCUUGCUUCUUUGUCAUCGACACAUCUGAGUAAAACCCAAUCAAAAUUCCUCUUGUACAAAACCCCAUCUUUAUUCAGAUAGAACGCCAUGGCCAACCUCCUCAGAGUGUUUCGGUCCUUCUUAGACGCUCCCUCAGGAUACUCUUAGGUUUCCAGAUAACGCUUGAUGUCAUAAUACCACAACUUUUCAUCAUCAGGCGCUGUUUCGACAACAAACACAUAAGCCGGUCUAUCCAGCCGUCCCGCCUCAACACUAGGAACUUGAUUCCACCACUGCACUCUAAUCAAAGCGGCCAGAGUAGCCAAAGCAUCUGCUAAAGGAUUUUCUUCCCUCGGCACAUGGUGUAAUUCCACCUUGGUGAAGAACGUCAACAAUCUCCUCGUAUAAUCCUGGUAUGGAAUUAAGUGGGAUUGAUGUGUAUACCAUUUCCCGUUAACCUGGUUCACAACCAAAGCUGAAUCCCCAUAAAUAACAAGGUUCUUGAUUCGCAAAUCAAUCGCCUAUUCGACACCCAAGAUACAAGCUUCGUAUUCAGCCACAUUGUUGGUGCAUUCAAAUGUUAGGCGGGCAGCAAAAGGAAUGUGGGAUCCCUUCGGCGUAACCAAAACAGCACCAACUCCGCUACCAUUCACGUUAACAGCCCCAUCAAACAUCUCUUAGGUAAGCCUGAGUCCCAGUCCGGGGAGGAGGCGGAUAGGUUCCUCACAAUCUUUCGAUUUGAGAAACAUGAUGUCCUCAUCAGGGAACUCAAAUUUCAUCGGUUGAUAAUCCUCAAUGGGUUCCUGGGCGAGGUAAUCAGACAAUACACUCCCCUUUAUUGCCUUUUGAGAAGUGUACUGGAUAUCGUAUUCAGUCAAAAUCAUUUUCCAUCUCGCAACCCGUCCGGUCAAUGUUGGCUUCUCAAAUAUAUACUUGAUCGGAUCCAUCUUGGAAAUCAACAAAAUGGUAUGAACCAGCGUAUACUGUCUCAGUCGGCGAGCAGCCCAUGCCAAAGCGUAGAAAGUUUUCUCGAGCAGUGAAUAUCUUGUUUCACAGUCGGUAAACUUUUUGCUAAGGUAGUAAAUUGCAUGAUCUUUUCGACCAGACUCGUCAUGCUGCCCCAGUACACACCCCAUAGACCCCUCGAGGACUGUCAAGUACAGGAUUAACGGUCGCCCCUCCACAGGAGGCAUCAGAAUCGGAGGCUCCUGCAAAUUUCUUUGUAUCUUCCUUUCAAUGCCGCUAGGAAAUCAUCAUUCCACCUAACCGUUAAUAAUUUUCUCAACAACUUGAAUAUGGGUUCACACCGUGGCUGUUAGGUGAGAAUGAACCGUGAAAUGUAGUUCAAUCUACCUAAGAAACCACAAAACCUCCUUUUCUGUUCUCGGUUCAGGCAUUUCUUGUAUCACUUUUACUUUAGCAGGAUCAACCUCGAUCCCUUUUCACUUACAAUAAACCUCAACAACUUACCGGACCGCACUCCGAAAGUGCACUUAUUUCGGAUUCAACCUCAAUUUGAAUUGUCUCAACCGGUCAAACAACUUGGCCAAGUCUACCAAAUGCCCCUCUUCUGUUUGGGACUUCGCUAUCAUGUCAUCAACAUAGCAUUCGAUCUCUUGAUGAAUCAUAUCAUGAAACAAAGUCACCAUAGCUCUUUGAUACGUGGCACCGGCGUUCUUGAGACCGAAUGGCAUCACCUUAUAACAAAAAGUGCCUCAUGGUGUGAUGAACGUUGUUUUCUCCAUAUCAUCUGGGGACAUUUUAAUUUGAUUAUAGCCAGAAAAGCCAUCCAUGAAGGAAAACACCGAGAAUGGAGUUGUAUUAUCUACCAACACAUCGAUGUGAGGUAAUGGGAAAUCAUCUUUCGGGCUAGCUUUGUUCAAAUCCCGGUAGUCCACACACAUCCUCACCUUUCCAUCAUUCUUUGGUACUGGCACAAUAUUCGCGACCCAAGGCGGAUAAUUAGUGACAGCCAGGAAACCAGCAUCCAGUUGCUUUUGUACCUCCUCUUUGAUUUUCAUGGCCCAUUCGGGUCGAGUUCUGCGCAACUUCUGCUUUACUGGAGGACAAUCUUCUCUCAAUGGCAACCUAUGUACAACGAUAUUGGUAUCCAACCCUAGCAUAUCUUGAUAAGACCAGGCGAAGAUAUCAACAUACUCUUUCAACAGUGCUACCAUUCUGCUCUUGACAUUCAUCUCCAAAGCGGCCCCAAUUUUCACUUCCUUUCUGACCUCCUCGGUGCCCAGAUUAACAUCUCAACUUGCUCCUCGUGCGCCGAUUUGAAACCACCUUCUCCUCUUGUUUCAACAACCUGGCUAACUCUUCCGGCAGUUCACAAUCUUCUUCGCCUUCUUCUUCGGCAUGAUAGAUCGGGUUGUCGAAGUCAUAUAGGGGUGUAACAGAAUUGUUAUCAAUGAGAUCCGUAGAAUGAUCGCAUAUGCAUGAAUGUUGAUUCAUGCAUUGCUUCAGAGUCGGAACGAGACAAAUUAAAAGGAAGAAAAAUGAAAAUAAACAUUGCCAUUUUUAUUGUAUUGUUUAUUAAACUGCAAAAAUAAAUGAUAAACAGGGAACACCGCUUUUAAUGCGAAAAACAUCCGUUUAUUAAUGAUGCAAAUAAUGCAAAAUUAAACACAUGAGGUGUCCCUUACAAUGGACCAUUACGUUUCGGGCAAAACGUAUGGCUUUCAUGCAAACAGAAUUAACAAACAGAAAUAUUACUCUUCACGCAGAGUGACAGUGAUGAUCUUUUCGGCCUUCCAGUUUUGGAUCUCCAUUCCUGGUAUGCACGAUUUUAUCCACAAGUCGAGCUCGCAGUCACUGUCAGUCUCUUCACCCACAGACAUUGGGGUCCUCAACUGAUCCACAACCGUCACCCCGAUUUUACUUUUAUCCUCAAAAAUAGCAUGCACCCCCAUCUGACCAUGCGUCGGCACGGGAUUAGCAUUAACAUUCGGCGAUGGUGGAAAAUUGAUGGCUUUGGAAUCCACCAAGUCUUGGACGACAUGCUUAACAGCUUUACAACCCUCAAUGUUAUACCCGGGAGCACCAGAAUGUAACUCACACUUGGCGUUCUCAUCAUAACUGGCAGGCCUCUGAUCUGGUCUUAACGGAGCCAACGUCCUCAACUGUACCAACCCGAGGUCCUUCAACUUCUUCAACAGAAGGGCAUACGUCAUGGGUGGCCUAUCAAACUGGGUUUGUUGCGUCUGGUAAAGUAUCUGUGCGGACGAGCUACGUGUAGAGGAAUGAUUCUGCGUGCGCGAGCAAUGAUUCUUGAUUCAAUCAAACACGUUAGAAACCGACACUUGCAAAAUAGAGGACACGUUAUUAUGAUUCAUGCAUGAAUGCAAUGUCUAUCCGUAUGAGGAACAUUCUGUCCUUCGAUCCUGGCUUCAUUGAGACGGAUAAUAAUUCGACAACAGCAUUCUGACAUCAAUCAUAUGGCUUUGGUGUACAGAACAGAAAGUUGUGCUUUCAUAUCUGGAACAAGGAUGUCUCUCAACCAGAAUCUCAAUCAAGAAUGUACCCUGCAUAUGGGUAAACAUGAGUUAGAUGCGGGUGAAUGCAAAAUGGGAAUGAUGCAGAUGCAUGAAUGCGAUGCAUAGUGCCAUCCUCCAAGACGUCUGAACAUCAACUGUACUGGAUCCCUGUCUCAGAACUGAUCACAACCAUCCAAGGGACUAAGUAACCACAAAUCUAACUCGGGGGGUCCGAAAUAAACGGUACCGGAGAAUACAUCACCAUCAUCACAGGAAAAUCACUGAACGGAUAGCAACAAGAUCACCUGAACAAGCAAUCCACCUCUAACCCGGGGGAUCUGAAAUAAACGGAACCCGCUCAUAAAUACCAUGGACAGAACUCUGGCGUGUCAGAAAUAAAUAUCCAUAAAUCCAACUUAUAAAUAGAAUCCAGAUCACGAACCAAACCAAAGUCACCAUCAAAGAGUCACCAACAGAACCUGUACCUGUAGGAACCAAACCCCUCCCCUCACAGGUGAAUUCUAAUAAGGUCAUCCUAUGGCGGACAAGAUACUCAAUGGGUUUGCCCUUUCGGGUGUGCCGUGCAACUCUCAUAAGAUCAUCUAAACCAAAGAUCCGGGAAAGAACGGUCACCGAAGUCAACAACUCAAAAUAGGUAACCCAACCAUAGUGGAUACUCCACAAGGAAGGGCUCUCUCAGAAGAACCUCGUCCGGUUGUGGUAUGUCAUGUCACAACAACAUGCUUAUCUAACAUGUGAGGCAACAUGAGACCACGCUAAUCCUAGGUGUAUACUCGGGCUUUGGGUUUUAGCCCCACUCAGAACACCCACCCCAAAUCAUAGGAACCACACCUGUCCAGAAUACAGCACAGUGAUAAUAUGAUGCAUGCAAACAUAUAUGCAAAUAUAUACAAUCACAGUAUAAUAAUCACAAAUGCAAUAAAUAAAGCAGUAAAAGCAACCCAAACUACCCUAAAAACUACGCUAGAGAGCGCUAGGAUAGACUCGCUUAGGGAAGAUGGACCAGCAAGAGGUCAACAAUCAUUUCCCCAGCAGGGUCGCCAGCUGUCGCAACGCGAAAAACUACCGGCGGAAAAAAUACAGAGCCUCCACCGACGUUAUUCAUCCUAUGACGGUUAGGGAGUGUUGGACUAACCUAAGAAAGGGAAAGGAACGGUCUUACGACCAGAGAUUACAAGGUACGGGAGUCGGUUACGCGAGGGGAAGGUGUUAGCACCCCUCACGUCCGCCGUACUCGACGGGAUCCACGCUCAAAAGAUAGCUCAAAGGAAAGGAAAAGGUUGCUGCUAAUAAACUGCUCAAAGAAACUGCAUAAACUGGAACAAUAAACAGGUGAAAGAAGAAAGAAGACGGAGGAAAUGGACUCGACAGGAUGUUGCAUCCUGGGCCUACGUAGUUUGUCAGAAACAAACAUCAGAGUCAACGUAGUUCGGGGAAGGGAGACAUGCUCGCUAAGACAUCGCGUCUUAUGCCUUUGUAUCUUCUCUAUCCAAAGGAGAAUCAGAGAACUCGUAGCUCGGCUAACGCACGCUGAAACAAGACACCAAAAAGGGACGCUGAGACGUCGGAAGAAACACUCAAAAGGAAACAGACUGCCAAUACAUGGACUUACACCCGACUCCUAACAAUAACAAAAAAGGGAAACAAAAUGCCAAUACAUGGACUUACACCUGACUCCUAACAAUAACCAAACAGGAAACAGAAUGCCAAUACAUGGACUUAUAUCCAAAUCCCAACCAUCAAACAAAGGAAACAGAAUGCCAAUACAUGGACUUACACCUGACUCCUAACAAUAACCAAACAAAAGGAAACAGAAUGCCAAUACAUGGACUUAUAUCCGACUCCUAAUAAUAACAAACGCUAACCAGCGAACACCAAAGAAAAGGUUAUCGGAACGAACCUCAACAAAGUAACUAACUAUCCAGCCAGUCACCACAAAUAAACCCCAAAGAUGAACCCCAAUAUGAACCCCGAUAAGAAUAACAAUCAUCGCAAAUGAACCCCGAAGAUGAACCCCAAUAUGAACCCCAAAGUGAAAAUAGGUGAACCCCGAAUGAGUGACAAACAUCACAAAUGAACCCCAAAGAUGAACCCCAAGUGAAUAACUCAUCACAAAUGAACCCCGAGAUGAAGCCCAAUAUGAAUGACAACCGUCAUAAAUGAACCCCGAGAAGAACCCCAAGUGAACCCCAAAUGAAUGACAACCAUUACAAAUGAACCCUGAAUAAUAACAGAAGAAAUCCCCAAGGUAUAAACAUACCACACACGCCCACGCUGAACAAACAGGUACUCACACCAAAACAAAGAAAAGGGUGAACACACAAAAAAAAACAAAAGGGUGAACAAACACACGAAAACAACACAACAAAAAAGAAAAAGGGUGCUCGUAGAGAUUGCUCACAACCUCCGGCCUACGUAUCUCAUCUGGUAUGAGAAUCGGGGCGACGUAGUUCCCCUUACCAAGGGUAAAACACUCUCCUAACCAGAGACCAGGGAAACAACAAACUAAAAGGGAGACUGAUACUCGAGCCUAAUAGUUGUCAUGCAAUCAAAUAUCCCUAAGCUGAGGUCUCUAACAAGAAUUUGACUCAACCUGGACGCGAGUCAACUCAAGUCUAAACUCUACAUACGUUCAACUUCAUCCGAAGCUAAUCGUACGACUCCUAUAGAAACGGAGAUGAGAAGAGUAAAGAAAAUAACACACCAACACAAGUGAACAAGCAUCACACACUAUAUCCAUACAAAAGUCUCAAACAAUGGGUGGGCUUUAGUCAAGAGGGGUCAUAUCAACCUCGACAAACUAGCCAAACUGUAAGAGGUAAUCUGCAGCUCUUAACCACUAACAUUGAACGUCAGGGUGAGCAGAUCAAAAUGGUAAUGAGGAUGAGACCUCAUAGCUCUUAACCCUGGCCAGGGUGAGCUCAUGACAAAGAAAUCGUGGGGAUCCAGAAAGUGGGAUCCUAUUCCACUUGACAGACUCUGGACUAAGAUCUGGGGCACAUGUUCAAAAGCAUCCGCACGUAGUGCGAGCAUAAAGAACGACAGACUGGAUAACGGGGGAUCGAAUGCUAAUCCCUUUUAUCCAUCAAUUGCCUCUUCUCUUGGAGGUCUUAUCAAAUAUCACAUGCCUCUCCUUGGAGGUCUUUGGGCACAAUGUUAAACAAACACAAUUAGAGCCUCUGAAAGAGGACUUGCCAGCAAAAUGCCUGCCAAAAAGGUGACAGGACUUCAGACUACAUGAAGUAAGAAGCUAACUACCUGAGUGAUGUGUCAACCAUAAUCCAAUGCUCAAGCAAGAGCUAAAGCAAGCAAGCAACUAAGUUACCUGUACAAAGACUAAAUAGUCAGUACUUCAGUCAUAAAACCAGCAGACAAGUAGUGAAACCCUCUAACAGUUACACAGUUCAAUGCAUAAGUGCCUUUGCACUCAAAUGAGCUGAUGAGCUCACCAUAUCACUUAAAACCCUACAAAACAAACAUAGGUCAUAACUCAAUGCAUCUCACAAGGUGAGAACAAACCCAAUCAUCAAUGAUGAGUAUACAAACCUGAAACACAAGACAAAGUUAGUCUAUGUACAUCCAAUCAAACACAACAAAACCCUAGUACAAAGGCCAAAUUCAAAACCUAACCAAAUUACCAAACCAGGACUCAUCCUUUUGCACAUUACACCUUCAAACACUCCCCAAAAUGUCCUCAAAAGGACCAGCAUCAAAUCCAUGACCAAGUGCCUCAAAUGGCCUAUGUAAUGUGAUGACCAAAUAUAUGCAUAAAAUGAACUUCCAACUUAGAAAAUUCAUAUCAAAUCAGAAACGAAUGCAAUGUUUUUGGGAUUUUUUGUACAAGUUCCCCAUGUCAUGAAUAAUCAUCAUGCAAAAGAUGAAAUUCAGAAUGAUGCAAAUGCUAUGUGAACAAAAAUGCACCAAUUCAAUGCCAAAAAUGUGACACAAAUUGUCACAUUAUUCUCUAUGUGUCAAAAAUGAGGAUCACAUGUGAGAAAAAAUCCAAACCAGUGACAAAUAAUUCAUGUCAUGUAUGAACGUCAUGUAUGCAAAAAAUUGGAUCAGAAGGUUCAACAUAGAGAAUUUCACAAUGCAUUGAAUGCAAUAGGUCAAAUUAGCACAACCUUGAUUCAAAAAUUCACACAUAAAAAUCCAUACAUCCAAAAUUCAUGAAAUUAACAUCAUAGAAAAGUAGACAUCAAUAUAAAACUAUGAAAAAAAAUUGGGACUCAUUUGGACUAUUUUUGGAUUUUUAAUGAUUUAAACAAAAUAGGCAAAAUAAUUGAAAUAUUAAAUGGAAAUGGAGGGAAACAAAAUUAUUCAAAUAAAUCCAGAAAAAUCCACAGCCACAGGAUAUGGCGCGCGUAUCAGAUCAAUGCUCCACAUUCAAAUGAAUGAAACGCAACAUUUCAUUAAUGACUCAGUCUCCCAAUCACACGCUCAGUCAGCGUUCCAAGCUUGCGUGGCCAUGGUCAAAGGAAUUCAUAUCCAAUCAAGCUUCCACGCAACAGCACACAUGGAACACACGUCAGCCAAAACCCUAGCACACGCAGACGCCGGAGCUACAUCUCCGAUCUUCUUCUCCAGUGAGAUGCGCGGUGGCGCCGCCCAAAAAAUUUCCAGAAACUCACAAGACCGGUACCAUUCGACUCGUCUUCCAACGUAGGUUCCAAAUAUCACCUUAGUUUUCUCUAAUUCCUCCUAGGUUUUGCAGAUCGAAGAGAAUAAAUUCUGAGAUCCAAACUUCCUUUCAACACCACGUCCUCAAUUCUCACUCAAACUCAAUUCUAAUUAUAUAUUCGUGAUCUACUCAUCAAUCUCUACAGUUCUAUGCCCAAAAAUCAGCAAAAGGAGAGGAUGAAAUUUUUGUCACCUGGAAAUGAAGCUUUCUGAAACCGCGAUCUCUCAAGCUCUACUGCUCCAGAUCAUCUCCUAUGAGCUUCCUUUGAAGCUUUUUGCAAACAGAAACGGUUAAAUCCUCUUGAAUACACCUCAAUUUCCAAAUUCCAUUGCCAUGAGAAUGCUUUUGAUCUGCUCGAAUCCUGGCUGAAUUGCACCAAACAAUGGAUGAUUCUUGAUUAGUGAAGCAUGAGGAUCAAGAAUAUGUAAAAAUCUUUGAGAAUUAUGUGGGGAAAAUGAAGAAUCGAAGAGAGAGAAAGUUGAGAGAGUUCUUGAAUUUUGAUCUGAAAUUGGUGGUUAUGGCAGUUAGGAUUAGGGUUUCACUAUUUAUAUCCCUAUCCCUGCUAAUGACAAUUGCUAAUCCUCUUUUCCAUUUGUUAAUCAUGAUUAAUGAGAUAUGAAGCAUCUUGCAAAAAUGCAAAAUGAGCUCACAUGGCCAUAAUGCACGUGUGAUCUCCCAUGCUAUGAUCUCAAUCCACUUAAGAACAUCCAAUGUCAUGAUUGAAUAUCAAUUAGCUUGCAUCUUAAGCCAAAAAUGAAUGGUGAAGAUUUACUUCAUUUUGCACAUGUGUGAAAUAAUGAACAUACAUGCCCCUCUCAUGCAUGUCAAUGGCUUAUUUUGAGAUGUAUUGAACAUGAGAAGCAUUUUGCCAAAAGAAUGAACCAAUUUGGCAUAUCAAAAGUUAUGCCAUUUUGAAUUUCCAUGCACACUUUGUGAUCAAAUGACCAUAACUCCUCAACCACUCAUCAUAUGGACAUGAAUUAGGACUUUUUGGAAAGGGGAGACAAAUAUCUAAAAACUUUCAUGUUCACCAAAAAUCCAUUUGACACUUCUUUGAUAUUGAAAAGUCAAGUUGAAAGUGGACCAAAAACUUGCCAAAUUUGUAAACUUUGAAUUAUAGGUCACUUUCCAUUUUUAGUAACUUUUGUCAUGACUUUUGAAUCUUCAAGAUGGAUGUUUAGAAUUAUGAAUAGACCCCCUUUGAGCAUGAUUGAGGUGUCUCAACUCAUUUCCCCACCUCAUAGCCCUCAGUUGACUGCACAGUUGACUUUUUGGUCCUCAGAUGACCUUGAAAUGUCUUGAUGCUAGAACCAUGAUGAUGGUGAUAUAUCCUUGCAGAUAAGAUGAUGCUCAAGACCUUUGAAGAAUCAAGAAACCCUAAUUGAAGCCCAUACCCUCAGAUGGUUGAUGAUCAAUUCAUAGAGACCCUCAGGCUUGAAUCAUGUAACUUCUCCAUCUUUUGAAAAGACUUUGGAGGAUGACCUUCUUAUUUUCAUAUGAGACGCAAAAUGCAAUGCCUAAUGCUCUAAAAUAUGAAAUGCAAUGUGUCAAACUAGUCUCAAGAAGAGGAGGGAAAAUUUUGAGGUGUUACACAUGAGACUUGGAUCAAGUGGUUCAGAUACAAGACACAUCAUUACCGGAGCCAGAGCUUCGAUUGUCUUCUCUGGUGAGCUCCACCGGACUGGUCAUCAUGAACCAUCACCAAAAAAAGAAACAGGGAGAUGAUCUUAAAGAAAAAAACAUCACUGAGCUUGAAUCUGACCUCCAAUUCCUCCAAUUCCAAAUAUAUUAAGAGAUAUGUGGAAUUGAAAAAUGAGGUACAUGAUCUGAGUUGCUUCGAUUUGGCCUCAAAGCAACUCAAUCUGCUUGCCUAUAUUGGUAGGACCUCAGACAACCAAAGAAUCAAUGAAAUUGAGCAAUAAUUUAAGAGAGUCGAAGAUUUUAAAAUUUCUGCAAAUUACCUUCAAUGGAGGUCUGAACACGACGGAUCGUGAUCUGAAUUGUGCUUAACUUCAAUUCAAUUGCUUGCAGGAGAGGAAUUGAAAGGUUUAAAAGCAAUGGACUCCUGGAGAAUUGAAUUCCAAAACAGUGGAGAUUCAAGCUCAAAUUCAAAUGAAUUUAUCAGGUUUAUCCUAUGAGAGUGAAGGGUUUUCAAUGGAGAUUCAAAGCUAGCGCAAUGUGUGUGUUAAUUCUGAGGAAAUGUAGCUGUAUUUAUAGCCAAAUCCAUGUGAUAUUUGCACACUCUCUUCCACUUUCCAAAUUUGGCAAAAUGAUGAUAGAAUGGUGCAUGGGCGCGCAUAGCCCCAUGGAAUGAUAGCUGAAAGUCCAAAUUUGAAGUUCAGAUCUGUUGAAGUUAGCUUAGAUUGCAAGGCACAUGUGCAUUGUUACUUGAAGUUGGAUCCAUGCCAAAUGAUAUCAUCCUGUUUAAGCCAUGCGCAACCUAUGCAUUUCAAGUCCAAAAUGAAUGAAUUUGAGCUCUUUGGAAAGGUGACAUCAAGAGGAACACGUUUGAUGUUUAAUACUUUUCCAUUUGGAACUUGGAACUUGGAUAAAUUUGAGGUGGAAGUUUGGAAAAUUUUGACAUAUCAAAUUUUUUCUAAGUAUCAAGCCAUAUAUCUCAAUAUUCCACCUUGCUUAACUUUUUAUGGGAGAUUCAAAUGAGAAACGUGUCUUCAUUAAAGUUGUAUCUCUCUCAAAGACCUUAAAUAUGGUAACCAAUUUUAUGUCAUUUGGAUUUGAAAUGAUAGAGUUAUGCAUUUUUGAAGUUUGGAAAGAUCACUUGAUCAAUGGUAUAGGUCAAAAGUGACCUAUAAUGUAGCCUCAUAUCACAUGCUCAAAAAUGUUGAAUUAGCUGCCACUACAAACAUAAAUGUUGAAGUAGACACAUUGAAUUUGAUUGUUCAACUUGGAAAUCUUUCAUAUCAUACAAAUUGAGCAAGUUAUGGCCUUGGGAAGUUGACUUUCAAAUUAGGGUUUAGACAAAAUGACCUAUAAUGUUUCAACAUAGAAAAUGAUUUUCCAAGAAAAUCUAGCUCUAGAUCUUAACAUGUAAGUUGUUUGGAAUGUCAUUUAGAGUAAGUUUUCUCUUGGAAUAAUUUUCAUAUGAUGAAAAGUGUAGGAGAUAGGGUCUAGGGAGACCCAGUUUUGAUCAGAUGAAUUCAUCUGGCCAACCACCAUCAACGAACUUGCUAAUUUCCAAUUAUCUUGACUUUAUUGGAUCAUGGUAGAUCAUAUAUGCAUAAGAUGAUGAAUUUUGAAGUGUCCCUUGGGAAAUUUGAUCAAUUGUUGAGAUAGCUUGUUGGAGAAGUUACUCAAGAUACCUAGUGUCAUACCCCGAUUUUGACCCUGAAUUUUUUCAUUUUUAUUUGGAACUUGGCCUAAAGUUCAUUUGCAUACAAUCAUUCCCAAAUCCAUGUUUUGUUACACAUUGGUCAUUGUCUAUGCCUUUUUGAUCAUGGUGCUCUUGAUUAUAAAAUGGAUUAAUUAUUUGACUUUUUUAUUUUCAAUUUGAUUUUAAUUUCGAAUUAAGUUUAAUUCCAAAUUUCAAUUUAAUUUUAAUUGUUAUUUUUACUAAUGAUUCAAACUCUAAUUGGUUUUAAUUUUCAAAUCCAAAUUUCAAUUUAAUUUUAAUUGUUAUUUUUACUAAUGAUUCAAACUCUAAUUGGUUUUAAUUUUCAAAUAGAUGUUAGAAUUGAUAUCAAAAGUAAUUUUAACAAAUUAUGGAUUAAUUUGAUAUUUAAUUGGAUUUUUACUGAUUUUUUUUUUUUUGUUUAUUUAAAUUGAUAUUUAAAUUAGUCUUGGAUUAUUUCUAAAAAUCCAUUUUAUAACCGUAGUUCAUUCCAAAUCAAAAUAGCACAUACACACAUUUCAUAACAUUCAAUAAUAUUUAGCUUUCAAGCAUUUCCAAAAAAAACCAUAUUUCACCAAGUAAAAGCAUCCUAUUUACAAACCAAACUCAUUCAAACCAAAGCCAUUGCUUCAUUUCACGGACCUUUGAUUACAAUGUUUGAAACAAAAUGCAAAAUUCAAACCAACACAUUAACAUUUCAAAGCUGCUACAACCUUGGGCAAUUCCCGAAAUUACAGCGGAUUCCCAUUUGUUACAUCCAAUUUUCAAGACACCAACACAGAGGCUGCUGCAGGUGAUUGGGAAGGAUAUGAGAAUUAUGGUCUUUGGUUUUAAGCCUCGUGCGAAACAGAGACGUGCAAUAUAUGAUGCACUACUGAAGUGUACAAAGCCAACAAUAUUAUGGGAUCUUUAUGCUUUUAUGGCCGGGCUUUCCAGUUUUCAGAACACUUCUUCGUUGGUGCGCUUAUUAGAUGAAUAUUUUCGACUUAUUGGCAAAGUUUCACAUCAUGGCAUGCAACAAUAGCAACCUACAGUGGCUAUUCGAAAUAAAGUUUCGUCCAUCGAUACUGUGCCUGAUUUUGCUAACAAUCUUCUCACUCUAAGAUCACGGGAAGGAAGAUGGAUUCUCAUGUUAAUCAUUCAUCCAGUUGUCCAAAUCCUCAUUGAUUCAUAGCUUAUUCCAUAAUCCAAAAAAGUUCAUAACACGUUUUUGUUGAUCCAAAAAACAAUGCUGAAACAAAACAGUGACUCAUUAGAGCUUGUUUUUCAUCUUUAUGGUGUGAGCAUUUCAACAAUAGUUUCAUCUUAAGUACUAAUGGAGCUCAAAAAUGAGAAGCUAGUCAGGAAAUGGGGAAUUGAAAAGCUGGUUUACAAAGAUGUAAAGAAAGGGAUUAGAAGGGACAGAAAAUAUGCAGUGCAACCACGUAGGCUAUUUGCAACUGGUGUUCACAUGUCACAGAAUUUAGAUGGAAAAACAACUCACAACACGGAAGGAAGAAUAAAAUAUUUUCAUUAUCAUGGAACCAUAGCUCAAAGAAGAGAAUCAUGUAAAGUGUUUCUAAAUUCAACAGAAACCACAUAUGACAAAACACCUUAUGGGUUGGAUACGACUUUGAGAGACAUUGCUGGUGUGAUCAAGAAAUUUGAGCUCAAGAUGAUUG
This 31566-nucleotide long non-coding RNA is filed under the name Lathyrus oleraceus (garden pea). Its description in RNAcentral is "Pisum sativum (pea) long non-coding RNA (PSAT_LNC010525)". The record is from RNAcentral. Lineage: Eukaryota; Viridiplantae; Streptophyta; Magnoliopsida; Fabales; Fabaceae.